UGCUCUGAUGAAAUCUCUUAUAGGAAGUGCCGUCAGAUGCGAUAACUGACGAUAACCAUUCCUGGCUGACU
Ursus americanus (American black bear) is the source of this 71-nucleotide small nucleolar RNA. Ensembl annotates it as small nucleolar RNA, C/D box 49A. Its record names the gene SNORD49A. Lineage: Eukaryota; Metazoa; Chordata; Mammalia; Carnivora; Ursidae. The record is from Ensembl.